This 266-nucleotide long non-coding RNA is filed under the name Mytilus galloprovincialis (Mediterranean mussel). The record is from RNAcentral. Lineage: Eukaryota; Metazoa; Mollusca; Bivalvia; Mytilida; Mytilidae.
UAUUAAGUAUUGUGCAAUAGCAAGUCUUUUCAAUUGCACAGUAUUGCGCAAUGGCAAGAAAUAUUUCAUUGCACAAUAUUGUGAAAUAGCAAAUUUUUUUAAUUAGAGUUAUCUUUCAUUUGUCCGAAUAGUAAGCAAGAAAUAUCUAAUUGCAAAAUAUUGUGCAAUAGAAAGAUUUUUUUUUAAUUGGAGUUAUCUUUCUUUGUCCAGAAUCAACUUAAAUCUUUGUUAUAUACAAUAUACAAUGUAUAUUCACUUUUUACUAC